This 253-nucleotide ribosomal RNA is filed under the name uncultured bacterium. RNAcentral describes it as "partial 16S ribosomal RNA". It matches the Rfam family "Bacterial small subunit ribosomal RNA", at positions 524 to 776 of the family's 1533-position model. The record is from RNAcentral.
UACGGAGGGUGCAAGCGUUAUCCGGAUUCACUGGGUUUAAAGGGUGCGUAGGCGGGCAGGUAAGUCAGUGGUGAAAUCCCCGAGCUUAACUUGGGAACUGCCGUUGAUACUAUCUGUCUUGAAUACUAUGGAGGUAAGCGGAAUAUGUCAUGUAGCGGUGAAAUGCUUAGAUAUGACAUAGAAGACCAGUUGCGAAGGCAGGUGGCUGGACAGUUAUUGACACUGAGGCACGAAGGCGUGGGGAUCAAACGGG